GAGGCCCUCUUGGACAACACUUCCUCUCCUGCCCAUGGUGGGAGGUUGGGAAGGACAUUCCCCCAUUUCCAUUUGCUCUGCCAUUCAAAACCUUGUGAGGGCCCUCAGGGAAGAAUCCCUUUGCAGAUGAGGAAACUGAGGCCCCACGUGGUGAAGACAAUUUUUACCCGAAUCCACCCACAACAAGAGACCAUUUGGAUAAUGUACAUUAUGGGAAGAGAACAGAGUCUCAGUGAAGAUCAUGUUUCCCCAGCAACACAGGUGCCAGGAGUAGCUGGCUCUGGUCCCAGCCCAGACUCAGAAAUCCUGAGCCACCAGACCAUUUCUAGAUUAACAAAGGCCUGCAUUAAUUUGAUUUCAGUGACCCACUGGAAACCAGUGUCAGCAUAACAACAGUUACGAGAGCUAAACCUACAAAAUAGAACACAGGAGCUAUGUGGAGAGUUGAUGGAGGGACAUUCCAGGCAGAGAGAACAGCAAACACAAAGGCCUUGAAGGGCUCAACACCACAUGGAAGCUGCCAAGGCUUGGGGCUCGCACCAUCUGAAGACAUGGUCUGAACUCUACGUUGGCCCUUUCAGCCAUGGCUGGAGCAGCUGGAACGCAGGGCAUCAAGUCUCUUGGCUGCACACAGCUCAGGGAAGCUGGACCUGGCCCAUGAAACCACUUUUUCUUCCUAUGCCUCCAGACCUGUGAUGGGAGGAGCUGCCAUGAAGACCUCUGACAUGCCCUAGAAACAUUUUCCCCAUUGUCUUAGGGAUUAACAUUCUGUGCCUUGUUGCUUAAGUAAAUUUCUGCCUCAUUGUCAGGCUGCAAAUUUUCUA
This 824-nucleotide long non-coding RNA is filed under the name Homo sapiens (human). Its description in RNAcentral is "HSALNT0347456". Lineage: Eukaryota; Metazoa; Chordata; Mammalia; Primates; Hominidae. The record is from RNAcentral.